This 464-nucleotide ribosomal RNA is filed under the name Vreelandella stevensii. RNAcentral's name for it is "partial 16S ribosomal RNA". It matches the Rfam family "Bacterial small subunit ribosomal RNA", at positions 338 to 795 of the family's 1533-position model. Lineage: Bacteria; Pseudomonadati; Pseudomonadota; Gammaproteobacteria; Oceanospirillales; Halomonadaceae. The record is from RNAcentral.
CCUACGGGUGGCAGCAGUGGGGAAUAUUGGACAAUGGGCGAAAGCCUGAUCCAGCCAUGCCGCGUGUGUGAAGAAGGCCUUCGGGUUGUAAAGCACUUUCAGUGGGGAAGAAAGCCUUGGGGCUAAUACCCUCGAGGAAGGACAUCACCCACAGAAGAAGCACCGGCUAACUCCGUGCCAGCAGCCGCGGUAAUACGGAGGGUGCGAGCGUUAAUCGGAAUUACUGGGCGUAAAGCGCGCGUAGGCGGUCUGAUAAGCCGGUUGUGAAAGCCCCGGGCUCAACCUGGGAACGGCAUCCGGAACUGUCAGGCUAGAGUGCAGGAGAGGAAGGUAGAAUUCCCGGUGUAGCGGUGAAAUGCGUAGAGAUCGGGAGGAAUACCAGUGGCGAAGGCGGCCUUCUGGACUGACACUGACGCUGAGGUGCGAAAGCGUGGGUAGCAAACAGGAUUAGAUACCCCGGUGUC